UCCCUGGUGGCUCAGAUGGUAAAGCGUCUGCCUGCAGUGCGGGAGACCUAGGUUCGAUUCCUGGAUCUGGAA
Transfer RNA from Ovis aries (sheep), 72 nucleotides. It matches the Rfam family "tRNA". Rfam says of the family: Transfer RNA (tRNA) molecules are approximately 80 nucleotides in length. Their secondary structure includes four short double-helical elements and three loops (D, anti-codon, and T loops). NCBI's taxonomy places the organism in Eukaryota, Metazoa, Chordata, Mammalia, Artiodactyla, Bovidae. The record is from Rfam.